CAGUAGGGAAUCUUCCACAAUGGGCGAAAGGCCUGAUGGAGCAACGCCGCGUGUGUGAUGAAGGGUUCCGGCUCGUAAAACACUGUUGUAAGAGAAGAAUGACAUUGAGAGUAACUGUUCAAUGUGUGACGGUAUCUUACCAGAAAGGAACGGCUAAAUACGUGCCAG
RNAcentral lists this ribosomal RNA (168 nucleotides) under uncultured bacterium. RNAcentral's name for it is "partial 16S rRNA". It matches the Rfam family "Bacterial small subunit ribosomal RNA", at positions 352 to 511 of the family's 1533-position model. The record is from RNAcentral.